GAUGAGAACGCAGCAAAAUGCGAUAAGUAAUGUGAAUUGCAGAAUUCAGUGAAUCAUCGAAUCUUUGAACGCACAUUGCGCCCGCUGGUAUUCCGGCGGGCAUGCCUGUUCGAGCGUCAUUUCAACCCUCAAGCCCCCGGGUUUGGUGUUGGGGAUCGGCUCUGCCCUUCUGGGCGGUGCCGCCCCCGAAAUACAUUGGCGGUCUCGCUGCAGCCUCCAUUGCGUAGUAGCUAACACCUCGCAACUGGAACGCGGCGCGGCCAUGCCGUAAAACCCCAACUUCUGAAUGUUGACCUCGGAUCAGGUAGGAAUACCCGCUGAACUUAAGCAUAUCAAUAAGCGGAGGA
RNAcentral lists this unclassified non-coding RNA (347 nucleotides) under soil metagenome. Its description in RNAcentral is "partial contains 5.8S ribosomal RNA, internal transcribed spacer 2, and large subunit ribosomal RNA". The stretch from base 5 to 119 matches the Rfam family "5.8S ribosomal RNA", at positions 40 to 154 of the family's 154-position model. The record is from RNAcentral.